This 1508-nucleotide ribosomal RNA is filed under the name metagenome. RNAcentral's name for it is "bacterial SSU rRNA". It matches the Rfam family "Bacterial small subunit ribosomal RNA". The record is from RNAcentral.
AGAGUUUGAUCCUGGCUCAGAACGAACGCUGACGGCGUGGCUAAGACAUGCAAGUCGCACGAACUAGUGAACCUUCGGGAUUAAUAGUUAGUGGCGAAAGGGUGAGUAAUGUAUAGGCAACGUACCCCCGGACACUGGGAUAGCUGCGGGCUUCGGCCCUUUAGCGAAAGUGCAGGUAAUACCAGAUGAUGUCUCGAGAACGAAUGUUCAUGAGACCAAAGGUCCGCUGGUCUGGGAGCGGCCUAUAUCGUAUCAGCUUGUUGGUGAGGUAACGGCUUACCAAGGCAACGACGCGUACCGGGACUGAGAGGUUGACCCGGCACAUCGGGACUGAGACACUGCCCGGACCUCCACGGAGGGCUGCAGUAACGAAUAUUGCGCAAUGGACGGAAGUCUGACGCAGCGACGCCGUGUGUAGGAUUGAAGCCCCUCGGGGUGUAAACUACUGUUAGGGUUAAGGAAGAUCUGACCUAGCCCAAAGAAAGCACCGGCUAACUUCGUGCCAGCAGCCGCGGUAAUACGAAGGGUGCAAGCGUUGUUCGGAAUUACUGGGCUUAAAGCGCACGCAGGCGGAAAAGCAAGUGUCUUGUGAAAGCCCCCGGCUCAACCGGGGAAUUGCUCGGCAAACUACUUUUCUUGAGGCAGGCAGGGGUGCAUGGAACUCUAGGUGGAGCGGUGGAAUGCGUAGAUAUCUAGAGGAACGCCCGCGGAGAAAUCGGUGCACUGGGCCUGUUCUGACGCUGAGGUGCGAAAGCAUGGGUAGCGAACGGGAUUAGAUACCCCGGUAGUCCAUGCCGUAAACGAUGUCUACUAGGUCGUGGUGGUUCUAACGCCGGCACGGCCGAAGCAAAAGUGUUAAGUAGACCGCCUGGGGAGUACGGUCGCAAGGCUAAAACUCAAAGGAAUUGACGGGGGCUCACACAAGCGGUGGAGCAUGUGGCUUAAUUCGAAUCAACGCGAAGAACCUUAUCCUGGGUUUGACAUGCUUGGAUGCCCUCUGUGAAAGCAGAGUAAGCUGCCCUUCGGGGUGAAACUUGCACAGGUGCUGCAUGGCUGUCAUCAGCUCGUGUCGUGAGAUGUCGGGUUAAGUCCCUUAACGAGCGAAACCCUUAUCGUUAGUUGCCAGCGCGUUAUGGCGGGAACUCUAGCGAGACUGCCGGUGUUAAACCGGAGGAAGGCGGGGAUGACGUCAAGUCCUCAUGGCCUUUAUGCCCAGGGCUGCACACGUGCUACAAUGGGAUGGACAAUCCGAAGCAAUACCGCGAGGUGGAGCAAAUCGGUAAAACCAUUCCUCAGUUCGGAUUGUAGGCUGCAACUCGCCUACAUGAAGUUGGAAUCGCUAGUAAUCGGAGAUCAGCUAUGCUCCGGUGAAUAUGUUCCUGAGCCUUGUACACACCGCCCGUCAAGUCACGGAAGCCGGGAGCACCUGAAGUCGGGUAGCUAACCUUUUAUUAGGGAGCGCCUGCCUAUGGUGAAUCUGGUGACUGGGGCUAAGUCGUAACAAGGUA